RNAcentral lists this long non-coding RNA (4036 nucleotides) under Triticum aestivum (bread wheat). Its description in RNAcentral is "long non-coding RNA (TAES_LNC009454)". The record is from RNAcentral. Lineage: Eukaryota; Viridiplantae; Streptophyta; Magnoliopsida; Poales; Poaceae.
GGGAGACCAGAAAAGAAGCAGCCAAGGAUCUAUGGCGGGGGAGACCAAUGAGACGCAGGGGAGGGGGUCCAAGGCCAAUCCUUCGCCGCCGGCAGCGUUGGCAGAAGUGGAGGCGGAUCAGAUCCCCUAGGUCACCGGGGAUUGGUCAAGAGCAAGCUCGUCCGGGUCAUCAUGGCCGGCGCCGGCAAAGCGGGAAGGCGGAGGUGUCGUGGACAAGGACCCCAUGGCCACCUUCGCCGAGAGCGUCCUCAUCUUCAUCCACUACUUCUCCGCCACGGACGUGCCUCCUGCCUUGCAUCUCCUUGUUCUUCCUCAUCCCUGUUUUUGCUAUGUUUUGGGGAGUAAUCCUUAUUGAUUUGAUGCAGUUUUUUUGGUAAUCUGGUUGGCGAAUUUGAUGCUUGUGUGAAAUAUUUGGGGUUUCUUAGGGGGAGAAAAUAGCGGUAGUUAAUUUAUUCGCAUUAGUUAGCCUGCUGGUUUAGGAUCUGCAUCGUUGAGGUCUUUAGCUAAUUUGUCUGUUCUUUGGUCGAGGGGAAGACGUCCAAGAUCAUAAUAUUAGGCUUCUCCCCGUGAUGUGAUGUUUAUCGAAUGAUGAUAGUAACAUGAGUGUGAUCUUAUUUGCAGGGAAGACCUACGACAUGUUUGCAAGGACGGAAAGAUACAUAAGAUCAAUGCUGAAUAUGUCUUCAAGGUGCUCGAUGGGAUUGAGUUCCUAGGGUUUUUAGAGCCCCUGAUCAAGCAUUUGAAGGUCCGUGUGGUUGUCUACUUGUCUCUCCAUUCUGUUACAGUCUGUUGUUAUUGCUCAGUUGUGUCAGUCAAACAUAUGUUCUUUGAGUUUAGAUGUUGGAUAGAUAAAUAAUUCUAUGUGAAAAUGCAAAUGAAAGGUGCAGUGGCUCAGUGCUUUAGGUUGUUGGUUACCAUGUGGGACCAUAAAUAAAUAGAAGUUGUUAACCACAAUGGAAGUUCAUUGGCUCUUUAUAUCCUUUUGAACAAGGGACUGCAUGAAUAUGGGAUUCCUUUUCCUGUAGCGAAUAGCUAUUGUGUUUAAACGCAAUCAUGUUAACAUAUAAACCCUCAAGAACUGCUAGGAAGGACCCUACCCACGCUGGCCGGUUCCGGCAAGCUCCGGCCGCCGCACGCCCCCGAGCUCCCCAAGAUCCGCGCCUCCAACCCUCCGCGGCAGGGAUUGGUGGACCGGCAGAUGUGAACGGGCUCGUGGUGGAGGCGCAGCAGGGGUUGGUGGGCCGGCGGAUGUGGGUGCGCUCCCGUCGCUGCUCGAUGACGGCGGCCAGUUCAAGAGGGUAGGUGAAGGCGAGCGGGGAGCGAGACAGAGAGACCUAGCCCACCCCGUGACCCUACCCUCAUUCCUCAUGAGCCGCCGCCGCCACCCCCGCCCACGAUGGAGAAAGUGAGAGGAAAGAGGAGAGGGGUCCUAUGAUAUAGUGAUUGUUCAACUAUAUGUAUUGGUAUGCUAUAUUUACAUCCGGUAACAAUUUGUGCUUAUUACCAUGCUAAAAACAUGCAUAGAUACUGCUCAGGAUUUCAGAGUGCAGCGUGGUGUUUCCCGUUGAUAGUAAGUUGACUGCCAGUUUAAAAUCUCAAACUGUUUCCUGGGACAAAUUGUUAAAAUAUGGUUUUCACUACAAGUAAAGAUGACUGGAGUUAUUCUUUUUAAUUAUCCAAUUCCCUACCAUUGAAGGUAUUAGACAUAUCUUGUAUGUAUCACCUACUUUAUGAGAAUAUAGGGGUAUCGGUUGAGAAGUAUCAAAAUGUCUUUUUGUUAUUUGAUCAUGUACAUAUCUGUUCUGUUGUAACAGUCACAAAUGCUGCUUCACCUGAUGCUACAGGUUUAUGUCUUUAUUUAUUUUUCACCAGGCACGGGGAAGGGAAUCAAUGGUUUGUUGGAUUUUAUCAUGUGGGUUAUGAAGAUCCAUUGCUUAUGGUUAUGCGAAGGAAAACUGUUCAUGGUUAAAGUUUGCUAAUAUUAUUACGCAACAGUCUGUUCCUUGCACCUGUUUUGCAAGCUGGAUUGUACGAGAGAAUAUAUAGAGAUGAGAAGAUUGUCCAUUCACUUAUUUCUUCUAUGGAAAGGAGCAUCAAUGGUUUUUGCAUGUGCUUCCCAUUGCCUGGGCACUUGGUGAGAGGACUCUUUGAUGUUAUUCUUUCAAAUAAGCUUUGAUAUGACUAAGGUGCAAUCAAUUGAAGUUGUUUUGAAGAACCUGCACCUGAGGAUAUUCUGUUUUUCAUAGCUUGCAGCAGUGUGUAGAAUAAAGUUUGUACAUUUUGUGAAUCGUUUCUUUCAGUUUUCCAGCCCGUGAUGUUGGGCAGGGAGAGAUGGGGAUGGCAGCGCUGGGAAAAGAGAGAUGGCGGCGAAGGCGGCGGUGCGCUGAGUAGAGAGAGAUGACAUCGGCGGAAGCAGCAACUCGUCUCUCCUCUUCGUAUCAUCGAUGAGGACGUGGGCUACAGGAGCGUGAGGAUUGGAAACCUCUUCCUCCAUAAUCUUGCCGAGCUGUUCCUCCUACUUUGAAGCAACUCGGCGAGGAGAGCAACGUGAAUGAGGUUUGCACAUUCACUUCCCUUUUUCUGAAUCUGUUUUUCUGUAAUUCCCUUGGUUAUGCAUAGGAUUACUUGCUAACCUGUACCAUAGCCUUUUUGCAAUGUUUUCAUAUAGAAUUUUCUUCGGCGUGUGCUUUGAUUACAGGCACCCAAAGUGUGGGAAGAACAAACAGUAAUUCAAGUUAGGUGUAUUGUUGUCCAGAUGAGUUCGUCAUGUGCUAGAAGGUGAGCUGAACCCAAUCUAGGCCUCAAGUUUCUCAUGUCCUUUACAGUGCAUUGUUAUUUCUGUGAGGUUCACAUGUAAUUUGUUCAACUAUAGUACUCAGUGAAUGAGACAAGGCAUUACUGCAUUUUAUUUCGUGGUGUUCAGCUGCAAGAAUUUAGUUUGUUUCUUUUUUUUGAAGUCAUAGAUUGUUUUGUGCCAGAAACAGGACAAGUAAUGCUCUAUAACCUUGGCAUAAAAAAUGGUCUAAAUUUCAUAUAGAAGGCCGUGGAAUACUUUGCAUGUGUUCAUUCAAAUAUAUGGAGUUGACCUGUACGUGUUGCUUCUAUGCACACUAUGUUCCAUAUGAAUUUGUAGGAGAGAAUCUCUAUAAUGGUAAUUAAGUAUUGUCGAUAUUUACUCUGUUGCUUUAGGAUCGAACAGCUGGACCUGGAAGCCACGAGAGCUGCCCGAGGAAGAGGGCGAAGGCGCGGGGGUGGAAGAGGGUAUGCCUGUGGUCAUCACCUUCCGAGACGACACGACCCGGCGAUUCAGAUUUAUCUUAUUCCUUGCCUCAACAACAUGCUCUGCUUCUUGAGCUUGCAGGUUCUAGCCUUUCUCUUCUCCUCUUGUUGUCUUGCACUCCGAUCAAGCCAUGGUGCAUAUUGCCUCAGAUUUGCUUAUUUGAGUGUGCUUUUAUACAUAAAUCUUGAUUUGUUUGUUUUUCAUAUUUUUAGGGAUAUGAGGAGAGAACUCUAUUGUUGGCAGUGACUGCAUCAUUUCCACAAGUGAUAUGGUUGAUCUUUGCUAUGUGGACGAUGGCAGGAUCUGUACCUAAGUUUGGAGAUUCUGAAUUAGUAAGAAAACGAUGGCAACCAUUUGAUUGUUUUUUUAUUACUUUAGGAAUAUGAGGAGAGAGCUCUAUUGUUGGCAGGGGCUGCAUCAUUAUCUUUGCUAUGUGGACCGAUGGCAUGAUCUGUACCUAAGGUUGAAGAUUCUGAAUUAGGAAAGAAAAAGAUGACAGCCACUUCGUUUUAGUACAUCAGUUUACUGAAUAAUUCUACGCUUUGAACUGCACGAUUACAGUGACAAUAUAACUAAAUAAUGGAAGAAACUUAAGGCUAGACACCACAUAAAUUUUCUUUUUAUUUGAAUUUAUAAUUAGACACUUGAAUUUAGCUUGAUACAUAUCAUAUGAUACCUUAGAAGCCCAUAUUGUAAAAUUUGACCAGUUCCCAUAAGGCCACAACUGUAUCUUAGUGUAGAAUUUACUUUCUCUUU